UACGGAGGGAGCUAGCGUUGUUCGGAAUUACUGGGCGUAAAGCGCGCGUAGGCGGCUUUGUAAGUUAGAGGUGAAAGCCCGGAGCUCAACUCCGGAACUGCCUUUAAGACUGCAUCGCUUGAAUCCGGGAGAGGUGAGUGGAAUUCCGAGUGUAGAGGUGAAAUUCGUAGGUAUUCGGAAGAACACCAGUGGCGAAGGCGGCUCACUGGACCGGCAUUGACGCUGAGGCGCGAAAGCGUGGGGAG
Molecule: ribosomal RNA, 245 nt
Filed under: uncultured Sphingomonas sp.
Lineage: Bacteria; Pseudomonadati; Pseudomonadota; Alphaproteobacteria; Sphingomonadales; Sphingomonadaceae
Description: partial 16S ribosomal RNA
Rfam family: Bacterial small subunit ribosomal RNA
Source: RNAcentral